RNAcentral lists this ribosomal RNA (520 nucleotides) under uncultured Glomus. Its description in RNAcentral is "SSU rRNA". It matches the Rfam family "Eukaryotic small subunit ribosomal RNA", at positions 569 to 1090 of the family's 1831-position model. The record is from RNAcentral. Lineage: Eukaryota; Fungi; Glomeromycota; Glomeromycetes; Glomerales; Glomeraceae.
AGCAGCCGCGGUAAUUCCAGCUCCAAUAGCGUAUAUUAAAGUUGUUGCAGUUAAAAAGCUCGUAGUUGAAUUUCGGGAUCAGUUCGCUGGUCGUGCCUCUGGUAUGUACUGGUGUUACUGGUUCCCCCCUUCUGACGAACUGUCAUGUCAUUUAUUUGGUGUGGUAGGGAAUCAGGACUGUUACUUUGAAAAAAUUAGAGUGUUUAAAGCAGGCUCGCGCUUGAAUACAUUAGCACGGAAUAAUGAAAUAGGACGUUCGAUCCUAUUUUGUUGGUUUCUAGGAUUGACGUAAUGAUUAAUAGGGAUAGUUGGGGGCAUUAGUAUUCAAUUGUCAGAGGUGAAAUUCUUGGAUUUAUUGAAGACUAACUACUGCGAAAGCAUUUGCCAAGGAUGUUUUCAUUAAUCAAGAACGAAAGUUAGGGGAUCGAAGACGAUCAGAUACCGUCGUAGUCUUAACCAUAAACUAUGCCGACUAGGGAUCGGAUGAUGUUAAUUUUUUAAUGACUCAUUCGGCGCCUUA